This 3719-nucleotide long non-coding RNA is filed under the name Sus scrofa (pig). RNAcentral's name for it is "lncRNA (ENSSSCG00035027405.1)". The record is from RNAcentral. Lineage: Eukaryota; Metazoa; Chordata; Mammalia; Artiodactyla; Suidae.
CUCCGCACGCCGCUGGCCGCCCGGGCUUCUCGGCGCGCGUUCGUCGCGCUGACAGUCCCGUCCGCUGCUUGUCCUCGAGUCCUGGGGUGUGAGGAAGCGAAAAGGGACUGGACGAGCGGUGGGCUACCUCUUCGGUGAGGAAGAAGUCCGGCCUGGGGUGCGAAGGGCGCUGACGUUUGGGGGCACCUUACAGUGUCGCUCUGGGCUUCCGAGUUUCUCCCUCCGCUGGCUGGCUUCCUCAGCUAAAGAGCAAGGGAUGUGCCCGGGUGGGUGAUAUGCAACUUGCUAGGCCUCCCUCCGUGGCUGUCCCGUCACCACCCGCCCCGAGCUCAGAGACCGGAGGCUUCUGGUGUGGGGUCGGGCUUGUCGCCCCAGGGCAGGGAGUUACAGCCCCUUCCUUCCGUGAGGGUGAGAAGGGCGACAUGGUUCGACACAGCAGGUGAAGGGUAUAAGAAGAAGUUAGCAGUCUACAAGCCAGAAAAAAAUUUCUCACCCGGACUCAACCAUACUGGUACCCUGAUCUUGGAUUUCCAGUCUCCAGAAAUGACAAACAUCUGGGUUCAUUUGGAAAGGAAGUCCAUCAUUCAUACUGCACAGUGGAAUUUAGAAAGUGCUAAAGACACAAAGUGAAGAAGUUUCCUAAGAGAAUAUAGGUAAGGAAGAGAGUCUUUGUCAUUUCUAUGCUAUAUUAUGGGGAACCUUCACCUCCUAGAGUAACCUGAUGCUAGGUUGAUGAUUUUCAUACAAGCUCAUCUUAUCUCCAUCACAGAGGGAAGAACAUCACUCUACUGUUACCAAAAUCUCUAUUUGUGAUAAGGUAGGUUGUCAACUAUGCCUUAAAAAAUCAUAGCAGGAUAUUGCUGACAAAGUAACAAGGGCUUUCCAGAUCUUUUGCUAAUGUUUUGUCACAUUAAUUUUUUGUUUUUCCUUAGUCCAGAAUUUUAGAAGGCAGUUGACUAGGUCUUCUUCAGAAGAUAAGGCUACAUAAUUUCAUUAUCACUGCAUUAUUUCCCAAAGACCUUGUCAGCUAGAAUCUGCUUUAAAAUAAUGGUCUUUUGGAGUUCCCUUUGUGGCUUAGCAGGUUAAGGACCUGCUGUUGUCUCAUGAGGAUUUGGGUUCGAUCCCUGGCCUCACUCAGUGGGUUAAGGAUCCUGCAUUGCCAUAAGCCGUGGCACAGGUUGCAGAUGCAGCUCGGAUCCAGUGUUGCUGUGGCUAUGGUGUAGGCCUCAGCUGCAGCUCCAAGAUUUGACCCCGAUUCCUGGAACUUCCAUAUGCUGCAGGUAUGGCCAUUAAAAAAUAUAUAAAUAAAUAAAUAAAUAAAAUAAUGGUCUUCAAAGUGAGUUACCUCUAUUGCUUGGGCUACACAAGGGCCACUUACCAGCUGUGCGGGAGUGCCCCACUCCUGGUCUCCACUCUGAGCUCUGCUCAGGGGGUGCUGCAGGUCGGCAGCUGCGGUGGCUCACGUUUACUCAGUAUAGAGACUGAUGGCAAGUGACAAACGUCAAUUCACAGUAAUAAAAGACUUUAAAACAUAAAAAUAUACUGCAUUACCUAAAAUUCUGGGAAUGGAGAAUGGAGUGGAAAUAAGAUUUCAGUAAGAAAAAGGAAUGAUGUAAAAUGCAGUCUCUUUUGUUGGACUUUAAGGCGCCUGCAAGGGAAUACAACUCAAAGCCUCUGGCCAAGAUAAGAAUUACCAGACCUUUAUCAUCGCCCCACACUUCUCAUUGUAAGGCACCCUCCCUCACCUGGAGCAACCUGGCCUACUCCUUCCUGACCCCUACUAGGAAAGGCAUGUGGCCCACUCCUCACCCCACACCUAUAGGCCCCCAGCUACUCAGCAAGUGUAUCAUAAGACUCCUCUUUCCCCAACAAAUCAGCAGGUCAGCAGGCAUAGCACACCUCUCCUCUCCCUGGAUUGUAAAAACAGACAUGACCACACGCCCUGGUCGGCUCUCCCUGAUUGUCGUCCUCCUACGCUUGCAGCAUCUCUUAUCUCAGUAAACUCUACUUUCUCUUCACCCUGCCAUGCUCAAUAAACUCUUCUUUCUUUGUACCUUGACAUGAGUCCGGAAAUUCUUUGCCCACCCAAGUGCACAGACCACAACGUUUUUUAUGAAUGAUAGUGAGUGUCUAAUAAAUAUAUUAUUUAGAUGUAUUAGAGACACGAGUCAUGUGAUGAUUUUAUUUUAAAAUGCCAAGAUUUAUAAUACAAUGGAAGUUACAUCCUAUAAAGUGAAAUUUCUAAUGGAGAGUUUUAGAUGUCAACUUUCAAAUGUGGAAACAGUGUUUCAAAACUCUUUUAAGGGAGAAAGUGGGCAAAAAUAUUCAGAUGACUGCCUCAGAUGACAGCUAAUCAAACCCCUUUCAUUUUGUAGAAGUGGCAGCUGAGGACCAGAAGUUCUGUUCUUGAACCAGAAUCCAGGACACAUCCAGUCACUGGUUCUGUGACUCUAUUCCAUCUCCUACACACAGGGUUCUGUGAGAAAGCCCGUGUUUAUUAAUGACACGAUACCUCUAAGUAAGAGGUCGUCUCUGAAAUGCAUUUGAGUUGAGAGCUGUCUGACAUCUGCAGUAACCUGUCACCACCAGUCUCAGCUGUCAUCAGGAUUGUCUCUAAAGCAAACAUUUAGAAAUAUGAGGUGUCCAUACAUCUAUCUCAGUCACCUGGGUUGUAGUUUAACUAUUGAUUUCCCUGACACAGCUGGAAGCAGCUUGGGCUAUUCAUUGCCUUAGUUGGCUUGGGCUGUGCUGACAACAAAAUACCAUAAACUGGGUGGCUUAAACAACAAAAAUUAACUUUCUCACAGUUCUGGAGCUAAAAGUGAGAUUAGAUUGCCAGCACGGUCAGGUCCUGGUGAGAGUUCUGUUCCUGGCUUGCACACAGUUGCCUUCCCUCUGCUCCUGCCUGCUAAGAGAAAGCAAGCUCUGGUCUCUCCUCUUUGUUUUGGCUGUGCCCAUGGCAUAUGGCAGUUUCUGGGCCAGGGAUUGAACCCAUGCCACAGCAGUAACCAGAGCCAGAGUAGUGACAAUGCCAGGUCCUUAACCCACUGAGCCACCAGAGAACUCUGGACUCCUCUUCUUACAGGGGCAUAAUCCUAUUGGAUCAGCCUCCUACCCUAUGAUCUCAUUUAACUUUACUUCCAUAACAGCUCUAUCUCCAAAUGUCACAGUAGGGGUUAGGGCUUCAACAUACAAAUUUCAGUUGGACACAAACAUUCGGUUCCUAACAUGCGUAAAUCUUUAUAUACCUUGUACCUAACCUAAUAGAUGGUACCAGUGAUCAUUAAUAAAUUUCUGCUGAAUGAAUUCAUAUUAAUGCCUUAUAUGAGUGGCAAUGUAGUAAAGCAGAGGGAAAACUAACUCUAUGACCUCGGGCAAGUCAUGUAAACUUCAUGAAGAGCCUCAACUUGUUCAGAUGUAAAAUCUAGGUAGCAACUCUUAUGUUAUGAGGCUUAGAAGGGAGGUGUGGGAAUUCCCUUUGUGGCUCAGUGGAAACAAGCCUGACUGGUAUCCUUGAGGAUGUGGGUUUGCUCCCUUGGCCUUGCUCAGUGAGUUAAGGAUCUGGCAUUUCCAUGAACUGUGGUGUGGGUUGUAGAUGCAGCUUGGAUCUGGCAUUGCUGUGGCUGUGGUGUAGGCCAACAGCUAUAGCUCCUUUGGCCCCUAGCCUGGGAACUUCCACAUGCCUCGGGUUUAGCCCUAAAAAUAAAAAUAAAAAAAAA